GACGGAGGAUGCAAGCGUUAUCCGGAAUCACUGGGCGUAAAGCGUCUGUAGGCGGUCAAAUAAGUCAACUGUCAAAUCUUGAAGCUCAACUUCAAAAUCGCAGUCGAAACUAUUAGACUAGAGUAUAGUAGGGGUAAAGGGAAUUUCCAGUGGAGCGGUGAAAUGCGUAGAGAUUGGAAAGAACACCGAUGGCGAAGGCACUUUACUGGGCUAUUACUAACACUCAGAGACGAAAGCUAGGGUAGCAAAUGGG
This 253-nucleotide ribosomal RNA is filed under the name uncultured bacterium. Its description in RNAcentral is "partial 16S ribosomal RNA". It matches the Rfam family "Bacterial small subunit ribosomal RNA", at positions 524 to 776 of the family's 1533-position model. The record is from RNAcentral.